AAGGAAGAAUAACAAAGUAGGAUUGGGAGUUGAGCUAUAACUCUCACUGAUUGGUUGAAACGAAGUAAUAUAUGUAGUCACAUGACAUAGAUACAGUGUUGACAAAUAAAUCCAAGGGGUAAACAGGUUACCUGUAAUCAGUGUUGGAAAACGAACUGCCUUACAUCUACACUGAAGAACAGGUGACAGAGCAAAGAAAACAUGCCAGCGAUUAAAGUUGUAUCGGCGAUGUGCUUGGUGUCGUUUAUGAUGCUAUUUGGGGAAUGCAAUGGUGCACAAUGCUGCACAAGUUACACUGGCAGGUUUGGACUCCAACAUUCCGCCAAGUUGUGUAGUACAUACUGCUGUACCGAUUUGACCGUCAGCACGUACAAAACGUGUUUUCGGAUGCAGCAAGAAUGGUUCCCUCAUCGGAAAGGACCGAAGAUAGCUGUAGAACAUGGCUCGAAGAUCACAUAUACGUUCCGGUAGUGUCAAGUGCCGUCCCCGUGUUAAUCAUUGCCUGCAUUUGCUGGUUCUGUUGCUGCAAAUAAUGCCGUUCAUAAAAACAUACCUGUCGCUCAAACUCCAAGCUAGGUGGUGAUCUUACUCGAAUGUUCCUCAUGUAUAUCAUCAUACGAGAAAACAACGACAACAGAAUAAGUUCUACAUAAUAUGAAGAUAAAAUUUACCAUCUUUAAGGCUUGUUACCAAAUAACUUUAUCUUAAUAAAUACUAUUUACUGCAAUGAUUGUGUACGUUUUGAAUGUUUUACCAACUUUGUUAUACAUUUAUUCAUUCAAACCAUCAAAUUGUUUCUUGUGCAAUAGAUGACAUUGGUUAUAUCUUAAUUUGAUUGCAAUUUGGUUUUGUUAACGUUUUGACGUGCUUUGAUUAUCUCUUUCUAGAAAUGUUUGUAUAUGUUUAUCUGAUCGCCCUAAAGUCAGAAAUGUGUGUGCUUUUAAAUGUUGAAAUUAUUUUAGGCUAUUCUAAAUACUUGUGGUUUCUUAAAUACUUUAAUAUAACAAUAGACUUUUUGUAAUCACGUUAUUUGGGCUGUUUUCCACCAGGAGUAAUUUGUAUUGUGUUCACGUCUAAAUCAAAUGAGACAAAAGAUUUAAAGAAUUCGUCAAUUAUAUUUAACUUAAACAGAAAGUAGAUUUCGUCGCAAUUAAUGGCGCCUAAAGACCCCAUGCGCUACAAACAUGACAUAUUUUGUUUACCAACCAAUCUACAUUUUUAUUGUUAAAUUUAUUUUUUGUUGUGAAUGAAAGGCAUACCGAUUAAGUUUACUGGUUACGUGAAUUUGCGGUGCACAGUACUCUAGGAAUUCCCAGAUACAAUAAUUGUCGGGUCUCAUUAGCAAAAUAUCGGACAUACACUUUGAAGUAAUUUGAUCAUACGUAAAAAGUGAAAUUUGCAAAUCCGCAAAGAAAUAUGUUCUCAAACGUGAAACCUAAACAUUAGUUAUUCAAAGGAUCG
This is a long non-coding RNA of Dreissena polymorpha, 1461 nucleotides long. RefSeq lists it as uncharacterized. Lineage: Eukaryota; Metazoa; Mollusca; Bivalvia; Myida; Dreissenidae. The transcript is spliced from 5 exons. The record is from RefSeq and is a predicted model, not a curated record.